UACGUAGGGUGCAAGCGUUGUCCGGAAUUAUUGGGCGUAAAGAGCUCGUAGGCGGCCUGUUACGUCUGCUGUGAAAUCCCGGGGCUUAACCCCGGGCGUGCAGUGGAUACGGGCAGGCUGGAGGCAGGCAGGGGAGAACGGAAUUCCCGGUGUAGCGGUGAAAUGCGCAGAUAUCGGGAGGAACACCGGUGGCGAAGGCGGUCCUCUGGGCCUGUACUGACGCUGAGAAGCGAAAGCGUGGGGAGCGAACAGG
RNAcentral lists this ribosomal RNA (253 nucleotides) under uncultured bacterium. Its description in RNAcentral is "partial 16S ribosomal RNA". It matches the Rfam family "Bacterial small subunit ribosomal RNA", at positions 524 to 776 of the family's 1533-position model. The record is from RNAcentral.